UCACUCACUCACCCUCCUUCCUUAUCUCGCCACGCGUCUCACACACUCCUCACUCCAUAUUUCACAAAAUCCACUCCCAACGGCCAUCAGCUACACGCUCACCCUCCUACUCACCCUUAUCCUCUCUCACUCAGACUCCCUCACAAAAAACACACUCCCUCACGCUAAUCUGAAACAAACCUCACACUACUCUCACUAUUCACUCUGUCUCUCGCCUCCACUCUCACUCACAAACCCUCAACACUCAGUAAACCCUUCAUCUUCCUCAUCGUCUCAACACCUUCACCCUUCUCAUUGUCGAAACCUCCGUUCCAUCUUCUCAACGAAACCGCCCACAAAAACCUCUGGAAAUCCCCAAAACCCAUCUUCGACCUCUUCAAAACCCAGCCGCCGCUUAACACCACUCAACCUUUAACCUUCACAUAAACCCUUCUUCUUCCUUCCGCCGUCCACCUCAACCACAAAAAUCCGUCUGAAAUCACCUUCAUUCGCCAUCACUAAACUACACCUUCGCCACCUUCAACCCUAAUCGCCGCACCUCACGACCUCUGACCGCGAGCUCGCCACCACCCACCACCACGAAACCCAUUCCUCCGUCAAACCCCUAAACUCGCCCCCUUCACCGUUAACCUUCCGUCGAUCCACUUCCAAACCGCGACUUCAAGUCGACAACCCUCAUCUCACCGCCGUCACCUCCUUGGGUAUCUCCUCCUACCUCAUCUCAACCUAAACACUCUUCUUUCAAACCACCGUUAAACCACAUCUAAUCCACUCAAACAACCCACCACCGAGUAAGCUUUCAUCGCAAUAACACAAAUCCCUGGUCCAGCAAGCGAACUCGUCAAACUUUCUUCCAAGUUUGGCAGGUGUGAUCAGCAAUCGAUUUGGUCCUAAGUGGAUUUACGGCGAUAAACAUUAGAGACGCUUUGAUUCUAUGUGUUAGAUUUGUGUCGCCGGUCUCGCGCGAUCUAUGUACAUUCGACAAGGGUGCUGCGUUCUUUGGUUUAUUUGAUGUUGUUGGUAGUUACUGGUUUUUAUAUCAGUUGGAUUUGGCGUAUAAAAACAACAACAACGUUCCCCAGCUGCCUUAACAACAAACUCAAACAGCACCAUCAACGAUUUGUAGUAACAAAGGACCACGUUUCGAUUUCUUGAGUCCAGCAAGAUUUCGCAACAAUCCUGUAUGUGAUUAUAAGGUACCGCGCUUUAUGAUCCGUUGGGAUUAUAUUGGUAGCUAUGUAAGUAUGAAAAUAGAGUUUUGUAUUAUUGUCUUAUGCUUGCAUGAUUUAGUUAAUGGAUUCGACGACUCAUGUCGAUAUGCCACCAGCAGUUGAAUAAAGUAAUUGAAUAUUUCACCGUGUUUUCAUUUUCGCAUACGACGUUUUAAUGGUCGAUAUGUAUAAACCGGUUCCGAGAACAUCCGCAUCAACACAUAUAGAUUAAAUCAAUAUUAAUGUCUAUUUUCCUUC
This is a long non-coding RNA of Lathyrus oleraceus (garden pea), 1469 nucleotides long. RefSeq lists it as uncharacterized. The transcript is spliced from 2 exons. Lineage: Eukaryota; Viridiplantae; Streptophyta; Magnoliopsida; Fabales; Fabaceae. The record is from RefSeq and is a predicted model, not a curated record.